Alligator mississippiensis (American alligator) is the source of this 7053-nucleotide long non-coding RNA. RefSeq lists it as uncharacterized. The record is from RefSeq and is a predicted model, not a curated record. NCBI's taxonomy places the organism in Eukaryota, Metazoa, Chordata, Crocodylia, Alligatoridae. The transcript is spliced from 3 exons.
AUAGCUCAAGUACUGCAAGUAAACAGCAGCCACAAGUUUUAGAGGGGCUGGCUGUGGAAGUGAACCUAUUUAGCUUUACAGUGUUUACUAUCAAUUAGCAUGGCACAAUAUCUAGGAUGCCACUAUUACUUUAUUAUUUGAAAAGUAUAACUGCAAAACAAAUGUCAUGUGCACCACAACAUAGUAACUGAGGAAAUUCUGAAUUCAGCUGUGUUGCUAAAAGUUAGGAAUGUGUGUUUGAGCUGUGACUGGGAUCUGUGGCUGCCUAUUAGGGUUUUCAGUUCUACUUCAAGUGAAUGGAAAGGCUUCAACUAACUUCACAGGAUUUUUGGAUGGAAUUGGUAGUUGCAUGAAUGAUUGGACUGUUUCUUCCAAGCAUAAAGAUGUACAUGAUGGGAGCUGAAGCCUGAUGAAGGGACUUGGAUCCUGAAAGCUUGCAGAAAAGGACAGUUUUCUUGCGAUUUCCCAGUUGGUCUAGUAAAAGGAAUAAUUUGCCAUUCAACUCUUGCAUUAAGAAGUCAAUUAUCAUCAAACAGUAAAUGAAAAGGAAGAUAGAUGCCUGAAAUAAAGAAGACGUGUCUAGAAGGGGAGAAAAUCAGUGACCUAGCACUAUGCUGAAAUCUGCAGUGUGCUUCUGUUAAUGCCAGCUGACUGCACUCCAUCUGCAGAAAUAUUCUUUCCCUGCUACAUUGUCAGUAUUCAAUUAAACACACAUUUACUUUACAUUACAUUGGAAAUGUACAUUAGCAUUCUACCGUACUACGGAAUGGGGCCCUAUGUACAGCCAUAAUGGUUCACAUGUUUUAUCUUGUUCUCACACAGUUAUCUCUUGGAGAAUUCCUUUUUUUCUUGUAAUUCACUUCUUUGCAUUAUAUGAAUUUACCUUCCUACUUCCUAUAUGCAAAUUCCAUUUAAAAACGUGCUUUUUUUUUCAUGGACUCUAUGCAUUUACACCUACUCUGGUCUGUCAUUCAGUAGAUCAUCUCUCUGUCUCUCUCUCUCUUGCUUUCUAAUUUAGAAUUUAAACCCACAGGGUGUCUCCAGAUGAGCAGACAAGGCGUUUUGGGUAAAUUUGAUAUCUUUUAUUAGACCAACUAAAAUAGUUGGAAAAAUACUUCUUUGCAGGCUUUCAGGUACAAAUACCCUUCAUGUAGUUUGCAGUGCUGCAGAAAUGUCUGUGUGUUCAUUGCACUGCUAAUUUGCAGUGUGGCGGGUUUUUUAUGACAACUGGAGAUCCUGGUGUCAGAAAAAGACUGUGGAAGAAAAAAUGGGGCAGUGCACAUUGUGGCAGUAUAUACCAUCUGAAACUGGGGCCUGGUCUUCCAGAGCUAUGCUCUGGCUGCUGGACAGACUCUGACUGCCUGGAUCACCACUGCUGAAGCCCCAGCAGGCCCUCAGGACUGCAGGUGCUGGCUCCAUCCUCUCCUACCCCACCCAGGGUAAUGUGCUGCAUGCCAAAGCGUGUGUUCAGGGGCAUUCCCUGGAGACAAGUAGCUGUGGCACAACUAUGUGCCACUACUAUUUAUCCUCAUGGAAAUGCACAUGCACACUCAUCUGGAUGUGUCCACAGGGGCCAAAGUGUUUGUUUUUUCUUUUUCUAAAUCUCAAAGUACUUUAUGAUUAUUCAAAUACUAUUUUACAUAUUAUUAAAAAACGUGAUCACUAACUAAUAUAUAUAUAUAUAUUAGUGGUCUUUAUUUAAGGUAGGGAUUCUAGUUACCAGCAUAAGGCAGCAAACAAUUUUGUGGCCAUUAAAGACUAUUCCUGUAGUUAUCUGUAUAGUGAGUUUCUACUUCUUAAAUGUGGCUUUCUAGUCUCAUCCUGAACAGCUAAUCUGUUAAUAUUAUUAUCUUUCCUUUUGUAAACAUGAAGGGCAGGAAAGAAUGGUAGCACUCUAGUACAUUUGAAUUGUAUUUAAUGAUGGAAAUGAUAUUGAUUAAAUGCAAAAAUGAUUAUAAUGACCAGCAUUUCCUUUAUUAUAUAAGUUAAGGUGCAGUGUUAGGUGUAUAUUCUUGGGAACAGGAGAAAUCUAUCUUUGCAUCACAUACACCAUUUGCAAUUAUCUUAUGAACUAGUGAUUCUCAUCUGCAGUGAAAGGAAUUUCCACUUCUUUUAUAUUGCAUUAUCAUGAGACUCCUAAUUCCCCAUUGUCCCAGGCAAUGUCAGUAGUGUAACCAAGAUGGGAGAGACAGGGCACAUCUACACAAGAUGCUAAUUGCGCAGUAGCCUAAUAACACUUCACAGUACUGUGCUGGGCAAAACCUGAGCUAAUAAGUUACUGCAAAGUAGUAUUAGGCUACUGUGCAAUAAGUGUCACUGAAUAGCUAUGUGCUGGUACUACUACUCAGUAGUGUGAGUUACUAAGCAUUGAUUUAGUACUUGGUUAACCAAGUACUAAACUUAAUGUGCAGUUACUACAGUGCAUUAAUGAAUGUGUAGACACACCCAUAGAGAAGCAGCUCUCGCUGUGAGCUUAAGAAGUAGGUGGAAAAAUAAAAGCUGCUGUUGUUGCCAUGCUGCCAGCUGUCAGAAAUUGCUGCUGCUUCUGUACCAUCAUUGCUGCCCCAGCUGCAUUGUUACAUCCCUGGAAAAUAAACAAACAUACAGCAAAAAACCUAUUCCAGACCAGUAUAGCUGUGAGUCUUUAGCUAUCUUCAAAUGUAUUUUAAAGUUACAAAGCUAAUAAAGAAAUAACUAUACAAGAUCCUUUGUGAUAUGCAUCACAGUUACAUUUUAGCUCUUCUAUUUUGUUUACCACUGGUACAUUAAUGUUGCAAGUGAUUAUAUAACAUGAAAGAUAUAUCCCCAAAACUAAACAUCUGAUCUCUGAAACAUGAACAGUCAGAGUGUUUAUUGACAGGUAUAGUACUGUUAGCUGUGAGGAAAAGAUUGAUCAGAAACAGAAAGGCUGCCUAUACACAUGCUCUGAGGUCGGGGAGGAGAGGGGCAUUUUAAUUAGAGCAGUUCCUGGACAGCCACUCCAAUUAAAACAGCUCACUGUCACAUGUAUGAAGCCCCUGCACACUUAAAAAUGGCUUCAGGAUGCUUUAUUUAAACCUCAUUUGAAGAGGUUUAACUAAAGCACCCCCAUGAACAUUUUAAAAUGUGUGGGGGCUUAAUGCACAUGAUGGCGAGGUGAUGCUAGAGUGUUCUCAUUAAAAUAUGAAUAUGUGAUCUAAUUAGAACAUGAAUGAGCAUGUGUAUAGGCAGCCAAGGUCCCAUUAGCUUUACUUAUAUUAUGCCCAGUAAUAAGCUUUGUACUGGAAAUAGGGAGCUGCAGGAUUGAGUCAGAAGUUACUCUUACAACAUGCCAUUUUCAACUGCUAUAAGUGCAGAAGUAUAAGGAUCAGAUCCAAAAAUGCUACUUCCAUUUAAACAUAAGAAAAAAAUCCAGAAAUCUAUGCAUGUCUUUGCUGAUUUACUAAGAAAAAUCAGUAUUCAAAUAUCAUCUGAAUUUCUGCUUUGUUCACCCUGAAGCAGGUUUCAUAUUAGUAUCCUGCAAAGUUGUAACGACUCAAAUUUUUUUCAAAGAAGACUUAUAUUUAUUAUAAAACUUACCUCUAACUUUAUUUAUUGGCUGCUGCCUAUAACUGGGCAUGUGAUAAAAUGCCAUUUUCAGAUUUAGGAUAUAUUGUAAAAAACUCAAGACCUAUUGCUGGGACAUGACACGAAAAUGGAAUAAAAAUGAAAGUCUGUUUGGUGACAAACACAAAAAAAAAUUCAGUCUAGUAAUUCCCUGUAAAUAGGGUGUCGGGGGGAGGAAUCCUGAGGAUUCUCAAAAAGAUGACUUUCUACAGAGGAAUUCAAACUGAAUAUGAUUUUAGUUUUAUAAAUUUCUAAUGGAGAGAAGGUCAAAUUUUACCUCUUGCAUACAUUUAGAUGCUGAUAAUAAGGUAUUGAAUAUUGUCUGUAGUAUUUACUAGAGAAUACAAACUUAUUCCAAUUGCAAAAUUUCAUCAUUUUUAAUGGAAAAAUAAUUAUUUUCACAGAUUUUACCUAUAAAUUGUUUCACUAAAAUCCUAUUCUAUAAUCAUUGCAAUUUGUAUGUAUAUAUCUCAAACACUAUGCAAAUUGCCACCAGAAUGUAAAUAUUAGCUCUGUUCAUUGACUCCAAUUCUUCAUUUCUCCCUAAAAAAAAAAAAGUUUCCAAAAUUAUGAGUUAUCUCAUUUCUAUUGACUAUUACACUCAUUUGAGGUGUAUGUGAGAAGAAAUUAUACUUCAGACCCAGUUCUGGUCCAGCUGCUACUGGAAGUUAAUAUCCAGAUAGUUAGCUGAUCAGGUGUCAUUUGUCUGCACACACAUUUAUGACCCUUUGGCACAGCCAAUUUCUUGGCACCCAAAUAAAGUCAGUUACUAUAAGAACCUUGCACAGGUCUUCAGGCCUUAUGCAUGUAAAUCCAACUUCCUCUCUACACAGACACAGUUAUAGUUCUGCCCUAGUCUUCUGUGUAUCCUUUACCAGGUCUUCCUCUGAAGCCACAGGCUAAGUACAGCCAGUCAAAAAGCCAUGUGGCACAUCACAGCGCUUCCCUGCCCCCCACCACAGCUUGCUGUCUGUGCACACUCCCAGGAACAGGGCUAGUGGGGCGCGGGCAGCUGUGCCCCUCUGCAAGCCCCACACGUGCUACCCAGCUGGGUGGGGGUGCAGUUUGUAUGUGGUGGCCAGCACCACUGUUGCUGCACCCUGCACUGCUUUCCCUCAGCCCCCAUCUACCGCUGGCCGGGUGGGCGGGCACUCCUGCAUGGAGCUGGGGUUUGAACAUGGUGGCUGCCACUGCACUGUCACUGCUGCACCCUGUGCUGCAUUUCUGUGGCCGGUCACACGUCCAGCUCCACAGGAAGGCAGUGUGGGGCCUGAAGGAAAGUACGGGAAGACACCAAGGGAGAUGUUGCUGCUGCGCCCCAGGGUGCAGUCUGUCCCUUCCCACCUACCCACCCAUUUUCCCCCCCCCCACUAUUCUUGAUCUGUCUCCCCAUCCCCUUCCCUUUCCCCUGCACUGCCCCUUCCCCGCACAUACACUUACCUGCUGGGGUGUGCCUGUGUUUCUGGGGCUUGGGGGCAGUUGUAGGGGGAGUGAGGAGAACUAGCAAGGCUGUGGGUGGGCCUUUAAUUUUCAUCAUGGAUUGUGGGGUUUUUAUCAGAGGAUCUGCAAUUUUUUUAUCAGAGAAUUUGUGAUUUCUUUAUCAGGGAAAACCAGGAUCCCUGCCCAUCAGUGGUGGCUGGUCAAGAGGGGGUGCUCGGGCGCUGGCCCACCGGUUUCAAAACGAGACACAACCUGCGUCAGCUAAGUAAAUAAAUAAAAAUAAUAGUAUCGUUAAUUAGAAACAGCAUCAGUUGAAUUAACUAUGUAAACAAAAGUAGUAAUAAUUUUUUUCUUGCCUAUGUCUGCUAGUAACAUAAUCAAUGAUUAUGCUUGUCCAUUAUGCAUACACAACAAAAAGUUCAGUAUACGCAGUAAGCACCUUGGGGUGAUCCCCUUACUGCCCAAGUGGCGCAUGAGCAGUAAAAACACCUGAACAGUUUGAACGAAUGGCAAUCAUCAUUUGUUUAAGCCAGCAGCAGAGCGCCUGUACUGAUGCCUCAGCCUGGAUAAAGAGCUGUUACCUAAGAAACCAUGGGACACCCCCAACCCUGCCUGGAAUGGCAAGGGAAGCGGGAGGGAGAGGGGAAAGGGCAAGGCCUGAUGCUGUCAGUCACCCAAGGCUUGGCUAAGGCUCGCUCUCCUUCUGGAGCCUGUGAGGUAAGUGGGGUUUGCAGAGAGCUAGAGGGUUGCAGGGAUGGGUGGGAACUGGCUGGGGACUGAGGGAGUAGGGAGGUUUGCAGCCUGCCAGGCACUCCGACUGGGAACUGGGGCUUGCAGUCGGGGAGCUGGGAGUUUGCAGCUGGGGAACUGCGGGGUUUAGUUUUGAUAAACAUAAAAAAUUACGUCAUGUUUUAUAGAAUUGCUUUCAUAAACAAACAAAAAUUGAAAAAAAAAUAAAAUAAAAUAAAAAAAAGAGUUGAAACUGGAUGAUACAGUGUGAUGCUCCACCCGCCCCACCUGUCUGAGUUCAUCAUCCAUGCCUAAGUCCCAUACCAUUGCCAGCUCCCUUGAGUCAGGCAUUUGUCCAUGUGGGGGGAGCCCUACACCAGCCUGGGCUCCUCCUAAACUCUGGUCUGCUUAGCUAUGUGGAGUUCUGCACCAACGGUGGCUUCCCCGCUGUAUGCCUGGGUUUCUCAAACAGGAGAGAGGAAGGAGUCCCCUAUCCUGGUGUUGGCUGCCCCAUGGUGUUGUUAGGGUAGCUUGUCAUAUUUUAUGUUUUAAAGUUGCACCUGUUUACAGAGUGGUGAAUUACAGUAUUGUUUAAACUUUUGUUUUCAGCCUUAAUUGUUGCUUAAGUUCUGUAUAGCCUCAUUAUUAUCUGAACUCUUCAUUUUCCUUAUCAGCUAGCCUUGAGUUGUUUUCACACAUCUCAUAGUGCUCAUUUAUAUAUUGUAUCUUUUCUCUUAUACCACUGUGAGAAGUUCUUCUAACGUGACAUAGUAAUAGUCUUCUUACCAGCUCAAAUGAGCUGAACUUGGCACUAACUAGCUGAAUCAGAGGGAUGAAAUGAUUAGAUAUGUUAAUGAAAGGUGAUGAGGGAAACCAAUGGACAAUACCCAAAGUAAGACAUGGAAAAAGACCAAAUUAAGAGGUGCACAUGUGAUGGGUUUGUUAAGCAAAUAAAUAUGCUGACAGGAUAAAAUACGGACAGUAUGCUGACUGCAGAGAGACCAAUCCGAAAGCAGAGACAUCAGAGGAGUGAAGUUAAAGAAAAGCUUAAAAGGAGACAGCAAGAAAUUUAAGUGCGUGUUGUCAUAAAUUCAGGAAAACAUCUGUCUGUGCCAGCCAUAAAGAUUGUCCACUGAUGCCACCCACUGCGUUCAGGAAAUGAUGGGCUAUCGUUUCUGCAGGGCAGUGUAUCAUCUGGAUUGUUGAGUGAGAUUAUUGUUCUGAAUGUUUUUCUGUCUCAGAAUACAAAAACUGCUAAGAUAAUAUUUAUUGUACUAAUAAAGUUAGACUUUGAUUUUA